GCCGCGGCUGGGAACUGGUAAUCCCGCUCGCCUGCUACGCGAGCUCCGAGAGGACUCCCGGUUCGACUCCGGGCCGCGGCG
Molecule: transfer RNA, 81 nt
Filed under: Halorientalis sp. IM1011
Lineage: Archaea; Methanobacteriati; Methanobacteriota; Halobacteria; Halobacteriales; Haloarculaceae
Description: tRNA-Ser
Source: RNAcentral